Molecule: long non-coding RNA, 736 nt
Organism: Humulus lupulus (European hop)
Lineage: Eukaryota; Viridiplantae; Streptophyta; Magnoliopsida; Rosales; Cannabaceae
Exons: 5
Source: RefSeq, a predicted model, not a curated record
ACCCUUCUCUUUCCCCAUUGUUUCUCUGGUCAACUAGUUCACUUUUCACUCUUAGUCGCUCCUUCCUCUCUCUAGCGCAAAGGACGAAGGCACAUUCAUUUGGUUGGGUUUGUCACCUCUCUUCUCUCUAAGCAGAAUGGUCUAUCUCAGGUUAUGGUUCUGAAGGAUUGUAAUCUUUGUUUCUACUGGUGGUGGUGAUGAUGAUGUUUUGUGUUUGUUGUUUCUGGUGGUGAAUGUCGAUGAUGGUGGUUGAAUUGGUGGUGUGAUAUUGAAGACUCUUUAUUGUUGUAUCAAAUAGUAGAAGACUUACGUGCCCAUUGACAGGUGUUUGCGAAAAUGCCUACUAAAGAUGGACACUUGUGAUCAUACCUCUUGGAUGAUUUUAGAAAGAAAUUCAUGACAGCCAAUCCUUACUUUGGAAAGACUAUUGGUGACGAGGGUGAGUACAAGGACAAGAAGAAUAAAUAUAUGUUGUUUGACAAUGAAUUUAGUAUUUUAUUUUAUUUGUAAUUUUUAUUAGAGUAAAGGAUUCUUUUUUGGGUGGUUAAUUAUUUACUUUGUAAAUAUAGUUAUAUAUUUUUUAAGGUCAAGACGAUUAUGUUUAUAAACAAGACUAUAUGAUUUUUUAGUCAAGUAGUAGUGUUAUAUUUGUUUCGAAAUUUGUUUGAUUAGAUUUGUAAAUACUUUGUAUACGUUUUGUUAUUUUAAUCUACAAUUUUUUAGAUUUGUAUAUAAA